UACAGAGGGUGCGAGCGUUAAUCGGAAUUACUGGGCGUAAAGCGCGCGUAGGCGGCUUUGCAAGUCGGGCGUGAAAUCCCCAGGCUUAACCUGGGAACUGCAUUCGAGACUGCAUUGCUAGAGUAUGGGAGAGGGAAGUGGAAUUUCCGGUGUAGCGGUGAAAUGCGUAGAUAUCGGAAGGAACAUCAGUGGCGAAAGCGACUUCCCGGACCAAUACUGACGCUCAUGUGCGAAAGCGUGGGGAGCAAACAGG
This 253-nucleotide ribosomal RNA is filed under the name uncultured bacterium. Its description in RNAcentral is "partial 16S ribosomal RNA". It matches the Rfam family "Bacterial small subunit ribosomal RNA", at positions 524 to 776 of the family's 1533-position model. The record is from RNAcentral.